RNAcentral lists this ribosomal RNA (437 nucleotides) under Francisella sp. 0001.04. RNAcentral describes it as "bacterial SSU rRNA". It matches the Rfam family "Bacterial small subunit ribosomal RNA", at positions 146 to 582 of the family's 1533-position model. Lineage: Bacteria; Pseudomonadati; Pseudomonadota; Gammaproteobacteria; Thiotrichales; Francisellaceae. The record is from RNAcentral.
CCAGUUGGAAACGACUGUUAAUACCGCAUAAUAUCUGUGGAUUAAAGGUGGCUUUCGGGCUGUCGCAGAUGGAUGAGCCUGCGUUGGAUUAGCUAGUUGGUGGGGUAAGGGCCCACCAAGGCUACGAUCCAUAGCUGAUUUGAGAGGAUGAUCAGCCACAUUGGGACUGAGACACGGCCCAAACUCCUACGGGAGGCAGCAGUGGGGAAUAUUGGACAAUGGGGGCAACCCUGAUCCAGCAAUGCCAUGUGUGUGAAGAAGGCCCUAGGGUUGUAAAGCACUUUAGUUGGGGAGGAAAGCCUCAAGGUUAAUAGCCUUGGGGGAGGACGUUACCCAAAGAAUAAGCACCGGCUAACUCCGUGCCAGCAGCCGCGGUAAUACGGGGGGUGCAAGCGUUAAUCGGAAUUACUGGGCGUAAAGGGUCUGUAGGUGGUUUG